Molecule: transfer RNA, 71 nt
Filed under: Loxodonta africana (African savanna elephant)
Lineage: Eukaryota; Metazoa; Chordata; Mammalia; Proboscidea; Elephantidae
Rfam family: tRNA
About the family: Transfer RNA (tRNA) molecules are approximately 80 nucleotides in length. Their secondary structure includes four short double-helical elements and three loops (D, anti-codon, and T loops).
Source: Rfam by way of RNAcentral
ACAUUGGUGGCUCGGUGGUAGAGUUCUUAUCUUUCACACGGGAGACCCGGGUUCGGUUCCUGGCCAGUGUG